This is a small nucleolar RNA of Capsella rubella, 92 nucleotides long. It matches the Rfam family "Small nucleolar RNA R12". From Rfam's summary of the family: snoR12 is a C/D box small nucleolar RNA, which acts as a methylation guide for 25S ribosomal RNA in plants. snoR12 has been alternatively named snoZ44 in Arabidopsis and snoZ131 in rice. The record is from Rfam. NCBI's taxonomy places the organism in Eukaryota, Viridiplantae, Streptophyta, Magnoliopsida, Brassicales, Brassicaceae.
AUGAGAAUGAUGAAAAAAAUCAUUCGGAUUCCCAUUGAUUUCCCUAUAACGGGAAAGAUGUGAUUAUAUUAAACCAGCUACUUUUGACUCAU